CAGCCGCCGCGGGAAUACGUAGAGCGCAAGCGUUAUCCGGAAUUAUUGGGCGUAAAGAGCUCGUAGGCGGUUUGUCGCGUCUGCCGUGAAAGUCCGGGGCUCAACCCCGGAUCUGCGGUGGGUACGGGCAGACUAGAGUGAUGUAGGGGAGACUGGAAUUCCUGGUGUAGCGGUGAAAUGCGCAGAUAUCAGGAGGAACACCGAUGGCGAAGGCAGGUCUCUGGGCAUUAACUGACGCUGAGGAGCGAAAGCAUGGGGAGCGAACAGGAUUAGAUACCCCUGUAGUCCCUGUCUCUUAUAC
This 301-nucleotide ribosomal RNA is filed under the name uncultured bacterium. RNAcentral describes it as "partial 16S ribosomal RNA". It matches the Rfam family "Bacterial small subunit ribosomal RNA", at positions 509 to 807 of the family's 1533-position model. The record is from RNAcentral.